RNAcentral lists this ribosomal RNA (484 nucleotides) under uncultured bacterium. Its description in RNAcentral is "partial 16S ribosomal RNA". It matches the Rfam family "Bacterial small subunit ribosomal RNA", at positions 30 to 507 of the family's 1533-position model. The record is from RNAcentral.
AUUGAACGCUGGCGGCAGGCCUAACACAUGCAAGUCGAGCGGAUGAAGGGAGCUUGCUCCUGGAUUCAGCGGCGGACGGGUGAGUAAUGCCUAGGAAUCUGCCUGGUCGGGUGGGAUAACGUCCGGAAACGGGCGCUAAUACCGCAUACGUCCUGAGGGAGAAGGUGGGGGAUCUUCGGACCUCACGCUAUCAGAUGAGCCUAGGUCGGAUUAGCUAGUUGGUGGGUUAAAGGCCUACCAAGGCGACGAUCCGUAACUGGUCUGAGAGGAUGAUCAGUCACACUGGAACUGAGACACGGUCCAGACUACUACGGGAGGCAGCAGUGGGGAAUAUUGGACGAUGGGCGAAAGCCUGAUCCAGCCAUGCCGCGUGUGUGAAGAAGGUCUUCGGAUUGUAAAGCACUUUAAGUUGGGAGGAAGGGCAGUAAGUUAAUACCUUGCUGUUUUGACGUUAACAACAGAAUAAGCACCGGCUAACUUCGUG